CACACACAUACACAACACAUCCAGACACACAGACAUGCACCCAUAAGACAUACAUACAAAGACACACAUACAUACACACAGACACAAGACACACAUACAUACAAAGACAAGACACACAUACACAUACACACAAGACACACACAUACAAAGACACAUACAAGACAUACAUACAAAGACACACACACAAACACAUUAUAUUUAAGUCACCCUCCUGUUUCCUAUCUUUAAG
Non-coding RNA from Pelobates cultripes (western spadefoot toad), 229 nucleotides. NCBI's taxonomy places the organism in Eukaryota, Metazoa, Chordata, Amphibia, Anura, Pelobatidae. The record is from the annotation of a GenBank genome assembly.